This is a long non-coding RNA of Bombus pascuorum, 846 nucleotides long. RefSeq lists it as uncharacterized. Lineage: Eukaryota; Metazoa; Arthropoda; Insecta; Hymenoptera; Apidae. The transcript is spliced from 2 exons. The record is from RefSeq and is a predicted model, not a curated record.
AGUUUAAUUAUCCGAUGGAACGUCACUUCUUAUAGAAUGCACGCACAAAGACACAAUAUAUUCCGUAGAUAUAACCACCUUUCGGACGAAAUCCCGAUAAGGUGUAACCCGAUGUCAGCUCUCGGAAUCGCAUAUCAGUUUUCAGCUAGCACCGGUACACGUUCCCCGAAAGUCGUGAUGCACUUCGAGGUCUCACUGUACGAGACAUCGGAUUGAGCGCUGCUUUUCGGUUCACAAUAAUUCGUCGUGGUGGUUCAUCAUUCAUUUCUGAAUAUACAUACACAUAAGUAAAGAUGACAAACAUGUAUGAACACGCAACUAUUUUCCUACGCAUCACAAAUGAACGAGCCGCGACCGUUAGAGGGAAAUUAGAUCCCUGCGAGAUAUGUCGUGAAAAUAGUCUUCUCAAUACAGUGGAAAAUCGAUCAUUUCUCUUCUCAAAACAUUCCUUUAUAAUUACAAUCGCACUACCUAUGAAGAAAGAAGCAAAAUGGCAACCCUGAAGGGCGCACAAUGUACAAUGGCUGCCAUUAAUGGCAGCUAGGCUAAACGAUUUCACGUGGUUUUCCGUCAAUAUUUUUUCUGUCAUAUGUUACUCACCUUUUAUCACAUCCGCAUACUUACAAUUUGAACCUGAUAUAUCUUGCUCUUUCUUGUAAGGGUAUUACUUACGUUAAUGGAACAAUACAUUUGACUAGUUUUGAUCGAAUAACGAAUUUUAUUGUUUUCUCGAAUUAAUCUUUGUGUGGGACACAAUACAAUAUACAUGUUUUUCGAACAAUCAAUAAUUUCGAGUCCUAAAAUAUAUAUUUCAAAAUUCUAAAAAUAAAUAUACGUUGCACAAAA